Symphalangus syndactylus (siamang) is the source of this 713-nucleotide long non-coding RNA. RefSeq lists it as uncharacterized. NCBI's taxonomy places the organism in Eukaryota, Metazoa, Chordata, Mammalia, Primates, Hylobatidae. The record is from RefSeq and is a predicted model, not a curated record.
AGUACUCUGUAAACAUCGGACAAUAGCAAGAAAAUGGAUUUUAAACCCUGUAUGGGUUCCUUAAUCACUCAGAAUAGUAUAAUCUUGCUUUGAUUACCAGUCAGGACAAAAAGACAGAGUCUUGCUCUGUCGCCCAGGCUGGAGUGCAGUGGCGCGGCCUCAGCUCACUGCAACCUUCACCUCCCAGGUUCAAGUGAUUCUCCUGCCCCAGCCUCCCAAGUGGAGUCUCACUCUGUCACCCAGGCUGGAGUGCAAUGGCACAAUCUCAGCUCACUGCAACCUCCGCCUUCCGGGUUCAAGCAAUACUCCUGCCUCAGCCUCCUGAGUAGCAGGGACUACAGGUUCCAAACACUCAAAUCCAACCAGCCUGGGGUGGAAAAGACCGUAUUUGUGAGAUGCAGAACCUGCAAAUACAAGGAGCUGACUCCUCCCAUGAGCGGGUUCUGCAGCGGAUACCAAGGAUGACCGUACCUCAACGUUCCCUCCUAGAACUUACAAUAUCAAUGCUUAGCUUUCUUGCCAGCUCCUCAUCACUUUUCAGUUGUUCUUCCAUCGCUCUUCGCCUUUUUUCUGCCUGUCUUUUUUCCUCUUCUUCCUCCUCUGCCAAUAACCUCUGUAUGUAUUCUUCACUGGCUUUGUUUUCUUCUUCCUCGCUGGCCCGUCGCUCUGCCUCCACCUUAAAAGUGAUUAAUAAAGAGCAAUCCUUCUCUGAA